Misgurnus anguillicaudatus (oriental weatherfish) is the source of this 847-nucleotide long non-coding RNA. RefSeq lists it as uncharacterized. NCBI's taxonomy places the organism in Eukaryota, Metazoa, Chordata, Actinopteri, Cypriniformes, Cobitidae. The record is from RefSeq and is a predicted model, not a curated record.
AUGUCAGAUAGACUUACGAUUUAAUAUUUAUCCCCAAACGCGAAAUUGGCCAUGUUAAUUACGGCCUACUCGUUGCCGGACAAAGAGGGACAGCCGGAGUCUACUCGCACAGGGCAUGUGAGGAAAAUAGGGGAGGCCAAGAUGUUUCACAUACACCCCCCUAUGAAACGAACAUGUGGACUGUUCGAGAUCGAACUACUUCUGCUUCCAAGGCGGGCAUGAUGAUCUGCUUCGGAUCCCAGGAGAAAACAGCUCCGUCGCCCUUGCUAUCUGGCUUUUUGGGCGCCGGGCUGUCAAGGAAGAAGUCGUUGCAGGCCACGGUCAGUGCGCCCAUGAGGAUGAUGAAUUCGGUGAAGUCCACCUCGCCAUCAUUAUUGGCAUCCAGGUUCUUUCACCAUUGGCUUUGGCUGAGAUGUAGGUACGCCAGAUAGCAGGUGUUUGCAAAGGUGUUGAAACAUUCUAAAAUUCACACGUAGGCAUAUGUCUCUAAACAAAUUGUGGGACUAUUGGACUUUUAAAGAAUACUUAUGAAAGGUCUUGAUCAGCAUCUGCAUCGCGCUUUCCAAGUUGGAGCUGGGCUCUUUGGACAUGCUGUGAGGUGAUUCAAAAAAGGUCAAAGGUUAGACGCAACGAGAUGGCGCGCCCCUCGCUAGACCCAGCUGCAUGUACGGUCACAUGACUAGCGUGGGCGGAGCUUUAGCUCAAUUAAUUCUGGCACAAACAUAGGAUUGGGUUCAGCAAACUACUGUGCAUGUAUAAAAACAGACAGAGUCAUUGAUGAUUGCAGUGAAAGAAGAGGAAGACUUUGGAGAUGAAGGCUCUACUACCUGCUUGGGCGCUAAACGGU